GUGCCUACGGGGGGCAGCAGUGGGGAAUAUUGCACAAUGGGGGAAACCCUGAUGCAGCGACGCCGCGUGAGUGAUGAAGUAUUUCGGUAUGUAAAGCUCUAUCAGCAGGGAAGAUAAUGACGGUACCUGACUAAGAAGCUCCGGCUAAAUACGUGCCAGCAGCCGCGGUAAUACGUAUGGAGCAAGCGUUAUCCGGAUUUACUGGGUGUAAAGGGAGCGCAGACGGCAGGGCAAGUCUGAUGUGAAAGUCCGGGGCUCAACCCCGGGACUGCAUUGGAAACUGUCCGGCUAGAGUGCAGGAGAGG
RNAcentral lists this ribosomal RNA (305 nucleotides) under uncultured bacterium. RNAcentral describes it as "bacterial SSU rRNA". It matches the Rfam family "Bacterial small subunit ribosomal RNA", at positions 335 to 657 of the family's 1533-position model. The record is from RNAcentral.